This 253-nucleotide ribosomal RNA is filed under the name uncultured bacterium. Its description in RNAcentral is "partial 16S ribosomal RNA". It matches the Rfam family "Bacterial small subunit ribosomal RNA", at positions 524 to 776 of the family's 1533-position model. The record is from RNAcentral.
UACGAAGGGGGCUAGCGUUGUUCGGAAUUACUGGGCGUAAAGCGCACGUAGGCGGACAUUUAAGUCAGGGGUGGAAUCCCAGAGCUCAACUCUGGAACUGCCUUUGAUACUGGGGAUCUCGAGUCCGGAAGAGGUGAGUGGAACUCCGAGUGUAGAGGUGAAAUUCGUAGAUAUUCGGAAGAACACCAGUGGCGAAGGCGGCUCACUGGUCCGGUACUGACGCUGAGGUGCGAAAGCGUGGGGAGCAAACAGG